GGAACUAGAACGAGAUGAGCCAAACUUCCAGAGGGAAGACCAUGGUCUCCGCCUUUCUUGGUUCUGAGAAAUGUUCUCCCUAGCACUAACUCGCCUACUGCUGCUUCUGCUUUCACUCCUUGAGCUUCGAGAAGAAUGGUCAUUGCCAGAUUUUUCAGGUAUCAGCUCCUUUCUACAAACAGGACAUGAAUUCUUCUGUUGUAGCCAUGGCGUGAUACAAUCCGAGUGAUAUAAGUGCUUGCAAGGCAAUUUUGUUGCCUUAGUCCCCAGAGCAAAUUUCUCCUUACAAACAGGGCAGUGCGAAUCCGAUCUAACAUCCUUUUUUGAUAUCUUGACUGUUGGUAGGGAAUCAAUUGAACAUCUCGAGACAGGAGGAGGAGCACCACGCUGAUUUCUAUUUACAAUUUCUUCAAAAAAUUCCUCCACUCCUGGACCAACAAAAUAAUCACCACCAUUUUCUUGUCGGAAUCCAAGUGCCUCAUUAAGAAACUCCAAAACUCCACCAUCCCCAG
This 512-nucleotide unclassified non-coding RNA is filed under the name Hevea brasiliensis (rubber tree). The record is from RNAcentral. Lineage: Eukaryota; Viridiplantae; Streptophyta; Magnoliopsida; Malpighiales; Euphorbiaceae.